This 88-nucleotide transfer RNA is filed under the name Candidatus Omnitrophota bacterium. Its description in RNAcentral is "Candidatus Omnitrophica bacterium tRNA-Ser". It matches the Rfam family "tRNA". From Rfam's summary of the family: Transfer RNA (tRNA) molecules are approximately 80 nucleotides in length. Their secondary structure includes four short double-helical elements and three loops (D, anti-codon, and T loops). Lineage: Bacteria; Pseudomonadati; Candidatus Omnitrophota. The record is from RNAcentral.
GGAGAGGUGCGUGAGCGGUUUAAACGGCGCGCUUGGAGAGCGUGUGUACCGAAAGGUACCCAGGGUUCGAAUCCCUGCCUCUCCGCCA